Molecule: non-coding RNA, 25 nt
Filed under: Rattus norvegicus (Norway rat)
Lineage: Eukaryota; Metazoa; Chordata; Mammalia; Rodentia; Muridae
Source: RNAcentral
UAUUCUUUUUUUUCUCCCUUUUUUC